GAAUAAAUUUGUUUUUAUGGUCUUUUAAAGGGAUACCUUUAAAAGUUAAAAGGGAAGUUCGGUGCAAAUCCGAUGCGGUCCCGCCACUGUAACGUAGAGCAAACUAUUAUAUCCACUGUUAUUAUAACGGGAAGGAAAUAUUUUGCGAUGAAACGAAGCCAGGAUACCUGCCAUAAAGAUCCUCUAAAU
This 189-nucleotide non-coding RNA is filed under the name Andreesenella formicacetica. The record is from RNAcentral. Lineage: Bacteria; Bacillati; Bacillota; Clostridia; Peptostreptococcales; Natronincolaceae.